UUUCUGGUCCGUCGUACACAUACUGAACAUAAAAAACCUCCGCAGACCUACCUCACUACGGCGCCACCGGGAAACAAUGCUCAGCCUCCUUCCCCGGUCUUGCCCAAAGCUCCGGUUCAAACCCGGUUAUAUAUAUCGGCUAUCCGGGCCCUAUUACUACCCGUCGCCGGUACGCCUUCUCCACCGCCACCGGUCUCUAUGGCUUCGACCACUUAAAGACCCCCAAAGGCUUUCGACGUUUCGUCGACGAUGCUAUCGAAAGGUCCGGAGAGCUGGUUGCAUACAUUUCAGGGAUGCCUUCCUCAGCGGAAAUAAUAAGAGCCAUGGAUGAGAUUUCUAACAGAGUCUGGUCUGUAAUUGACUCCGCGGAGCUUUGUAGACAAACUCAUCCUGACAGGGAAUUUGUUGAGGAGGCGAUCAAAGCUUCAAUAAGAGUUAAUGAAUAUCUACAUGUGAGGUGACGGUGAAUCGUCUUUGCAAGUGUUAUUAACUUUUUGCUCACGGUUUUGUUAUGUAUAUAAAUUGUACUGUAGUCAUGAGCC
Long non-coding RNA from Prunus dulcis (almond), 542 nucleotides. RefSeq lists it as uncharacterized. NCBI's taxonomy places the organism in Eukaryota, Viridiplantae, Streptophyta, Magnoliopsida, Rosales, Rosaceae. The transcript has 4 exons. The record is from RefSeq and is a predicted model, not a curated record.